RNAcentral lists this ribosomal RNA (773 nucleotides) under Taenia solium (pork tapeworm). RNAcentral's name for it is "bacterial SSU rRNA". It matches the Rfam family "Eukaryotic small subunit ribosomal RNA", at positions 171 to 746 of the family's 1831-position model. Lineage: Eukaryota; Metazoa; Platyhelminthes; Cestoda; Cyclophyllidea; Taeniidae. The record is from RNAcentral.
UGCCUCGAUGCCCUGACUCUGUCGGCUUGCUGCUUGCCUGUGGGUAGGUGGUGGCAGGCAGGGUGUGGGUGCACUUAUUAGAUCAGAAGCCAACCAACUGCUCGUGCGUUGCGUGUGCAGCCGACUGCUGUAGGCGUGCGUGCGUGCGUGCGUGCGAGUGUUGAGAGGAGACCGCUUCUGGUGACUCUGGAUAAUUGUUACAGAUCGCAGUCGGCCUUGAGUCGGCGACGGGUCCUUCAAAUGUCUGCCCUAUCAACUGUCGAUGGUAGGUGACCUGCCUACCAUGGUGAUAACGGGUAACGGGGAAUCAGGGUUCGAUUCCGGAGAGGGAGCCUGAGAAACGGCUACCACUUCCAAGGGAGGCAGCAGGCGCGCAAAUUACCCACUCCCGGCACGGGGAGGUGGUGACGAAAAAUACCGAUGCGGGACUCCCUCAAGAGGCUCCGUAAUCGGAAUGAGUGGACUCUAAAUCCUUUCACGAGGAUCAAUUGGAGGGCAAGUCUGGUGCCAGCAGCCGCGGUAACUCCAGCUCCAAUAGCGUAUAUUAAAGUUGCUGCAGUUAAAAAGCUCGUAGUUGGAUCUCGGUAGCAUUGUUGCCCGCUGGUAAUUGAGCGGCCGGUGUGUGGUCAACGGUGCGCGGUCGCGCUGGCACACAGUCUGCGUGUGAGCGUGUGGUGAGCGCGUGUCGGUUGGUAGGUUGGCAGGCGAGCUGGUUGGCCCGUUGUCGCCGCUGCUGCCGCCACUGUCGGGUAGUUGGCUGCCUGGCUAAGCGG